Molecule: ribosomal RNA, 253 nt
Filed under: uncultured bacterium
Lineage: Bacteria
Description: partial 16S ribosomal RNA
Rfam family: Bacterial small subunit ribosomal RNA
Source: RNAcentral
UACGUAGGAGGCAAGCGUUGUCCGGAAUUACUGGGCGUAAAGGGCGCGCAGGCGGCUCUGAAAGUCAGAUGUGAAAGCCUCGGGCUUAACCUGAGAACUGCAUUUGAUACUCUGGAGCUUGAGUACGGGAGAGGAUAGUGGAAUUCCCAGUGUAGAGGUGAAAUUCGUAGAUAUUGGGAAGAACACCGGUGGCGAAGGCGGCUAUCUGGACCGUAACUGACGCUGAGGCGCGAAAGCGUGGGGAGCAAACAGG